Molecule: ribosomal RNA, 372 nt
Filed under: uncultured organism
Description: partial 16S ribosomal RNA
Rfam family: Bacterial small subunit ribosomal RNA
Source: RNAcentral
GUAGGUGGCAAGCGUUGUCCGGAAUUAUUGGGCGUAAAGCGCGCGCAGGCGGUCCUUUAAGUCUGAUGUGAAAGCCCACGGCUCAACCGUGGAGGGUCAUUGGAAACUGGGGGACUUGAGUACAGAAGAGGAAAGCGGAAUUCCAAGUGUAGCGGUGAAAUGCGUAGAGAUUUGGAGGAACACCAGUGGCGAAGGCGGCUUUCUGGUCUGUAACUGACGCUGAAGCGCGAAAGCGUGGGGAGCAAACAGGGAUUAGAUACCCUGGUAGUCCACGCCGUAAACGAUGAGUGCUAAGUGUUAGGGGGUUUCCCGCCCCUUAGUGCUGCAGCUAACGCAUUAAGCACUCCGCCUGGGGAGUACGCCGCAAGGCUG